ACCUACUCCUGACUUUGAUCAUCAAAACUGAACAACUUACCAAAAAAUCAUUACUAUUGAAAAACUCAACAAUGAUGCUCAAUAUUUACCCAAACUAACUGACACAACCAGGACACAUACAAACAUAUUCACCAAAUCUUACAAUUUCGCAUGCUCAAAGUGAGAUUCAACCAAUCUAUUUUUCUUUUAUUCUUCAAGAGAACGAUACUUGUUUGGAUAGUCGUAAAAAAAAAAAAAUCUAAAUCACCAUAGUAUAUUAUGCUUCUACAUUUUCACUAAAAGGAAGAUGAACAGUGAGUAGUCCUCUUUGAGGUGUCGGACCUGAUGGCCGGACGAGAUCGAGUCAGAGAAGAUGGUGUUUCGAAUCGGCCGUGUCUGUGUCUGUAACUCGGCGGCCUUUUAGUUUGAAAGAAAAUCUCAAUUUUCUUGGCUUCGAAGUUUUACCUCGAAAACUGUGGUUUUGCUGUUGCUAAAAUAAGAAAGAAAACAGAAAAAGUGUAGUCAGUCAUGUGAUAGUUAUCUUCGGCGGGUGGAAAUUGUAUAACUACCCUUCAUUUUCAUGGAUUUAACAAAUACACUUAUCCAUCA
Molecule: long non-coding RNA, 588 nt
Organism: Papaver somniferum (opium poppy)
Lineage: Eukaryota; Viridiplantae; Streptophyta; Magnoliopsida; Ranunculales; Papaveraceae
Exons: 2
Source: RefSeq, a predicted model, not a curated record